RNAcentral lists this long non-coding RNA (857 nucleotides) under Vigna radiata. RNAcentral's name for it is "long non-coding RNA (VRAD_LNC015141)". Lineage: Eukaryota; Viridiplantae; Streptophyta; Magnoliopsida; Fabales; Fabaceae. The record is from RNAcentral.
CCGCCGGUGGUAGACAAAGUGAAAAGCAGAAUUGCAGUUCACAGAAGAGAAGUUCAAAGAAUUUCUUUACCGAAAGAAGGGAAUUGCUUUCCUCUUUCCCGACCUUGCUUUCACUAGUUAAACUACCGCAGGUUCUAGAUCGAUUUGAUCAACUACAAUUGGGAUGAGAGGAACAUAAGGGUGUAACACAAUCCGCUUCGUAACUGGAAGGCCGGAUCGAAACAUUCACUUACUCAUACCCGCUAUUACUCCUAAUUGAGCUCCUACUCUUAUAACAAUAUCCGGUGCGUCAAUGAAAUCAUCUCUAAAGCAAAUGGUGGAAGUGUUGACCGAUUCAAACUGAUGAAAUUGGUCGAUUUAGCACUCAACUAACUCCCAUCUUAUUUAGUCUUCUCCUAUUUCUAAGUAAACCCCGCCCCUAUAUGCCCUGGGUAGACAUGUGAAGGUAGACUUUGACCGAUCUUGGUUUGUGUUUGGGCGUGCUAGGAAGGCUAAGGCUAGAAAAAGAGUACAUCUAGAUCAGUCAAGUCAUCACUUAUUUGAUUGUUGAUUCCAUUCCUUAUGUGCCCUAUCUAUUGUUCAUGCCUUCUUUACAUGUUGGGUGGAUUAGAUCCCCUUUCAACUCUCAUUAUGGGAAGGAUGUCUUCCUUCAAGUUCUAGCUCUUUCGAACCCAGGAUCAGGCUAGUAUGGCUUGGCAUCGUCUGGGUUUCAGGCUCAGAUGGUGUAGGGGUUAACCUCCCUAGCACAGGAUUGUCUGAUUCUGUGUCCUUAAGGCAAGACAUUGGUAGAAGCAGCUUAUCCAAUUUUAGGGUGUGAUAAGUUAUUAUUAUCCCAAGCAUCCUUGCUGGACAACCAC